This 424-nucleotide long non-coding RNA is filed under the name Erythranthe guttata (spotted monkey flower). RNAcentral describes it as "long non-coding RNA (EGUT_LNC003139)". Lineage: Eukaryota; Viridiplantae; Streptophyta; Magnoliopsida; Lamiales; Phrymaceae. The record is from RNAcentral.
AUUUUUUCACUUUCUUUUCUUCUUCUCUCUUUUCUCCCUCUUUAAUAAUCCGAGGGGCCAAAACACCGUCGUUGUGAUGUUGGAGUCACUAGGCUUGGGGGUGUACAACGGGAACGUCAGACCCAUGAUAUGAGACGGACGAAAACGACGACAAAGCAACGCACAAUGAACAACAUCGGCUUUUUUCAGUCGUUGAUGCUGGGUGGUGGUCUGGAUAUAGUUGCGGGGUUUGGGGGCGGCGUAGGCGGUGGUCUAGGUGGCUGUGGAUAUUUUGGAGGAGGUGAUGGUGGUGGUGGCGCUGAUGGUGGUGCAGGUGUAGGGCCGAGUGGUGUUAACAAGGCUGGUGGUGGAGUAAUGGUGGCAGAUCUAGGAUUUUUGUGCGGAGCUCAACCCCGGCGGAGGAAGUUCACGCAUGUUAAUCGAC